Molecule: ribosomal RNA, 433 nt
Filed under: uncultured bacterium
Lineage: Bacteria
Description: partial 16S ribosomal RNA
Rfam family: Bacterial small subunit ribosomal RNA
Source: RNAcentral
AAUGAACGCUGGCGGCAUGCCUAACACAUGCAAGUCGAACGAGAACUUCGGGUCUAGUGGCGCACGGGUGCGUAACGCGUGGGAACCUGCCCUUAGGUUCGGAAUAACUCUCAGAAAGGGGUGCUAAUACCGGAUAAUGUCUUCGGACCAAAGAUUUAUCGCAUUUGGAUGGGCCCGCGUUGGAUUAGCUAGUUGGUAGGGUAAAAGCCUACCAAGGCGACGAUCCAUAGUUGGUCUGAGAGGAUGAUCAGCCACACUGGGACUGAGACACGGCCGAGACUCCUACGGGAGGCAGCAGUGGGGAAUAUUGGACAAUGGGCGAAGGCCUGAUCCAGCAAUGCCGCGUGAGUGAUGAAGUCCUUAGGGUUGUAAAGCUCUUUUACCCGGGAUGAUAAUGACAGUACCGGGAGAAUAAGCUCCGGCUAACUCCGUG